Long non-coding RNA from Papaver somniferum (opium poppy), 2085 nucleotides. RefSeq lists it as uncharacterized. The transcript is spliced from 5 exons. Lineage: Eukaryota; Viridiplantae; Streptophyta; Magnoliopsida; Ranunculales; Papaveraceae. The record is from RefSeq and is a predicted model, not a curated record.
AAAAGAGACAUUGAUAGUCACGAAGAAAGAACAAACUGAUUACAUGUUCAUCGUUCGUGGAUCUCUUUCUCCAUCUGAAAUUAAAUCGAUCAAUCUCCGGAGAGAGAGAAUUUUUAUCGAUAUGGCAUCAAGAUGGGGAUUCACAGGGAACAAAGGAAGGUGUUACGAUUUUUGGACAGAUUUCAAUGAAUGUAUGUCCAAUUGUAGAGAACCUGAAGAUUUUGCUCUUCUAAGAAAAGAUUAUCCUGAGUGUAUUCAUCAUGCUAAAGAGGUUCGUUUGUUGUAUGGAUCUGAUUACUGAAUUUCAAAUUAACAUGAAAUUUUAAUGAAAACCCUAGCUUUCAAUUUAGAGGUAACCUGUUGGGUCUUUUUUCUUAUAUUAAUGUACCAAUUAAGUUUUCUAGAUGUGAUUAGCUGUUCCGAUGACAUGUUCUAUGUUGGUGGUGAUUUGAGCUGAAAAUAACAUGAAUUUUGGUUAGCCUCUUGGAAGCUCGGAUUUUAGGAAUCGUUUGAUGUAUAUCAGGUGUUUAAGAUUUGUAAUAAGAUUUGUAAUAUUGUUACAAUUUAGGGUAUUAGGUUUACGAUUUCUGGAUAGAUUUCAGUGAACGGAACGUAUCAUCCACACUCCAGAAUGAUGUCAUAAGAGGUCACAUUAUCACUUAUAUGCUGCUCGGGAUCAGUAAAGUUUGAUAUCAGGAGCACUCAAAGCAGGGUGUAUAAGAACAGAUUCAAAGACAUGAUAGUCCAAUACCGAACUUACUGGAGGAGGGAAAGAUGCAUCAGUUAUAGCUUUGAAGAAGGCCCCAAAACUUGAGAAUGCUAAUACCCAGAAAGGAAAGAUGUGAAGGAUUAAGGAACUCCUUGCAUGAGUGAUGGAUUGUAUCUCCCGUGACUACAAUAUGCUGAAGCAAAAUAAUUCACUGAUAUGUUCGACUUGAAAAUAGAAGCUACGAUUUGAGGUUGCAAUUGAUUUAAGACUCACUCUAAUAGGUUUACUUUUAUGGGUCCCUUGAUACAAAGCCAUGAAACUGGGUCCUGGCCAUUUCAGACAUCCAACUUAACACUAUCAUCUGUUUGGAAUACUUGGGUUGUUGGGUUUAUCAUCAUAUCGGUGUUUACCCGUGAUUGAUUGGAACUGGACUUGAAUUGAUUAUAUUGGAAAUGUUCCAUUCAAAUCAUUUUCUACCGUGAUUAGAAAGAACUUUUUUCCUAAGUAAAUGACCCUCCAAGGCCCAAGCAUCUAUUUGGAACAAUGUUAAAGAUUACAUUCCACACAACUUAAACUGACUGCUGAUGCUCCUCUUGCUCCUGGAUUUCUGCCGUUGAAGCCAAAUUUCAUGGUGUACAAGUCAAAGAGGUGCAAUUAUAGAAAGAUAGUCAAAUGAUGCAGGUUCCGAUGAGAAAAAACCUUCAAAACUAAAUAAGUUUGAAUAACCUUAAAGAAAGAAUAUACUAGGUUGUACUGGAUUCCCAAUGGCAGUGGAUAAAGGCUCGCUCUCGAUAGGUAAUGCUGCACGGUUGGUUCACUUUUGACUAGGUGUGAAGAAGACAAUCCAACAUGGUUAGAGAUUCAAAGUGACUGAUAAUUUUUUUAUGGCGAAUAAUGGUUAAAACUCUUGAAGUCUUAAAUCUACUCUUAGCACUCCCUCACCUUCUGUAUUUCGUCUUUGGAAACCUAUAACCAAGUGAAACCUCAUAUACCAAUGGUUAAAAUGAUGCCGUCUCCCAAACAAAAAUGGUCAUCUGCAUCAUCAAGGGAAUAUUCAUGCAGAAAACUCGGGCAAUUCCUAUCUUAUCCCAGAGGUAUUUUUCGUGUUCAUGUUAUCUUUUUUCUUAGAUUUUAGAUUUUAAGUUUGAGAAAUGACGACCCAGGUAAUGUACCUGCAUUGAAUCCCGGUGUGCUAAAAGAUAUGCCCAAUUCUCGAGAUACUAGGUUAGGUUUUUGUUCCUCAACUCUCAUAUCAAUUUAUUAUAAUAAUGUAUCCGGAACUUAGAUUGAUGUUUUACUGUUCUUAGUUGGUGAAACCAUUUGAUGGAGAUUGAAAUGGAAAAGAUGAAAGUAAAUCAAUUUUAUAUGUUCAGCAA